This 171-nucleotide small nuclear RNA is filed under the name Astyanax mexicanus (Mexican tetra). Its description in RNAcentral is "U1 spliceosomal RNA". It matches the Rfam family "U1 spliceosomal RNA". From Rfam's summary of the family: U1 is a small nuclear RNA (snRNA) component of the spliceosome (involved in pre-mRNA splicing). Its 5' end forms complementary base pairs with the 5' splice junction, thus defining the 5' donor site of an intron. The record is from Rfam by way of RNAcentral. Lineage: Eukaryota; Metazoa; Chordata; Actinopteri; Characiformes; Acestrorhamphidae.
UAACUUAACCUGGCAGGGAGAUACAUGAUCAAGAAGGUGGUUUCAUCCCAGGGUGAAGGCUCGUCCAUUGCAGACUUCCGGAUGUGCUGGACCCUGCGAAUUCCCCAAAUGUGGGAAUCUCGAAUGCAUAAUUUCUGGUAGUUGGGGGACUUGCGUUCGCGCUCUCCCGAU